This 448-nucleotide ribosomal RNA is filed under the name uncultured bacterium. RNAcentral's name for it is "bacterial SSU rRNA". It matches the Rfam family "Bacterial small subunit ribosomal RNA", at positions 328 to 793 of the family's 1533-position model. The record is from RNAcentral.
UUCCCAGACUCCUACGGGAGGCAGCAGUGGGGAAUAUUGCACAAUGGGGGAAACCCUGAUGCAGCGACGCCGCGUGAGUGAGGAAGUAUUUCGGUAUGUAAAGCUCUAUCAGCAGGGAAGAAAAUGACGGUACCUGACUAAGAAGCCCCGGCUAACUACGUGCCAGCAGCCGCGGUAAUACGGGGGAUGCGAGCGUUAUCCGGAUUUAUUGGGUUUAAAGGGUGCGUAGGCGGCGCUUCAGGUCAGCGGUGAAAUACCGGGGCUCAACCCCGGGGCUGCCGUUGAAACCGGAGCGCUAGAAUUCCGAUGCCGUCGGAGGAAUGUGUGGUGUAGCGGUGAAAUGCAUAGAUAUCACACAGAACACCGAUUGCGAAGGCAUCUGACGAAGCGGAGAUUGACGCUGAUGCACGAAAGCGUGGGUAUCGAACAGGAUUAGAUACCCCUGUAG